Molecule: long non-coding RNA, 220 nt
Organism: Acanthochromis polyacanthus (spiny chromis)
Lineage: Eukaryota; Metazoa; Chordata; Actinopteri; Pomacentridae
Exons: 2
Source: RefSeq, a predicted model, not a curated record
AGAAAAUUUAAUAUGAAAGUGUUUUUAUUAUGAACUGGUCUGGAAAAAAGACGAUUAAAUGAGUAAUUGCAUGAGAUAAAGCAUCUGUUUUGCUGUUUAAGUAUAAGUGGAAUGUCAAAACAUUUAACAAUAUGUCAAUAUACUCAACUUUCCUAAUUUUCCAAAAAUGUAAGUGGUGCAUAUUCAUCCAGGUCAUUUCCGAGGAUGGAUUUGAGAAAUG